GGAGAGAUGGCUGAGUGGACUAAAUCGGCGGAUUGCUAAUCCGUUGUACAAUUUUUUUUACCGAGGGUUCGAAUCCCUCUCUUUCCA
Molecule: transfer RNA, 87 nt
Organism: Setaria italica (foxtail millet)
Lineage: Eukaryota; Viridiplantae; Streptophyta; Magnoliopsida; Poales; Poaceae
Rfam family: tRNA
About the family: Transfer RNA (tRNA) molecules are approximately 80 nucleotides in length. Their secondary structure includes four short double-helical elements and three loops (D, anti-codon, and T loops). Further hydrogen bonds mediate the characteristic L-shaped molecular structure. tRNAs have two regions of fundamental functional importance: the anti-codon, which is responsible for specific mRNA codon recognition, and the 3' end, to which the tRNAs corresponding amino acid is attached (by aminoacyl-tRNA synthetases). tRNAs cope with the degeneracy of the genetic code in two manners: having more than one tRNA (with a specific anti-codon) for a particular amino acid; and 'wobble' base-pairing, i.e. permitting non-standard base-pairing at the 3rd anti-codon position.
Source: Rfam